CAACCUUGAUUUUUCUGUGCUCCUCUUUGUGCCUUUGUACCUGCGCUGAAUAUUUAUAUAACGAACUGGGAGAGAGGAUGAGAGCAGCUGCAUUAGAUAGCGAGAGUGUUAAAAAGAUGCUGCAGGUGAAGGGAGAGGACUGGUUCAGCCGUUUAUCACAACUGUUAUUGGAGUUAUAUAGAGCGUCAACCUUCUGCGGCACAGCGGGGUUUGAGGCUGUCAAAACUCUGCAGUAAAGGGAGAACAUUUGGUACAUUUUGCAGAGACAUCCCAUGGCGCCUGAUGAGUCUCAUAAGGAAUCUGCUGCAGACUGAGAAACACAGAAACAUUUGCUCAAAGAUGGAUCUGGAUCAAUCUUGGCCUGCACUUGAUGUUAGCGGAAGUAUUAACCUAGUCAUGCAACACAUAUUUCAUACUUAGGCAAAUUCAAUAUGGCUCUAUGUGGGAUGAAUGCCCAAACAAAUUGCACUGAAAAUAAUGUAUCAAAUAACAGGCCAAAUUCAAUUUUACACACAUUCCCUGGAGACAUGUUUGGAGAAGUUGCCUGCCAACCCUCAAUGCGAAUGCACGCUAAGAGUGAGAAGGAAUGCAUCAACAAUCGCUGAUUGUUUUCCUGCCGAAAAUAGAAAAUUUUAAUUUUUAAGACUGCCAGCAUCUUUUGGUUUGCCUGGAUCUGCCUAACAAUGCCUGCUCACAAUGAUUUUCUAUCUUUAAAUGAUCAUUUUCCAAUAGACAUCAGACACGCUAAAGUUAAGUGCUGCUAUGCUAUCAAGAUGCCUUUAUUAGUUUGUUAAUCCCAAGCACAGCAAUCUUGGAAGCAGGAUUACCUCCUGCCCAACUGCAUAACACUAUGUUUUUGGAACAAAUUAGAUUUAAUAUCUGCUGGGAAAUUCUCAAUGGUGCUCACAUUGCAAGAAAUGUGUGUAUGCACUGUUUCCAGAUAAAGCUAUUUUUUAUUACAAAUCAACUUAAAGUACCUGAGAUUUUACAGAAAACCCAUGUUACCUGCUGUAUGUCCUCGCCCAUUCUUCCAUCCUGCAUAAGUCAGGCGUGUGUCAGUAAACUGUGAAAUAAAACUUCACACUCCCUGUAGCCAGAGGUUUCAGUGAGAUGCCAAAGUUCUUUAUUUCUUUUGGAAACUGAAAGCCUUUAGGGCAGAAUCUGCCAGAAAAAUGUUUAAUAAGUGUGAACCUGCAAAAGACAUGUGGAUGUUGAUGUUAAGCACCAGAAUGGUGCAGCUCUGCAGCAACAGAAAUUGCAAGUAAUAUUUAGUGUGGCAUUCAGUUUAUGACUCUGCAAUCAACAUACUUAAGAGGUUUUAGGAAAUGUCAUAGAGAUGUUUGGAAAUUUUGUAUGUAAUCCUUCUGAAAUGCUGUCAAGAAACCGCAAAGGUGCUACAGUAUGUUAAUUUUGACAAACAAAAGCAUCUAAAAUGAUGUUAUGACUCACUGCAGUUUUAUCAAUCAAUCAAUCAAUCAAUCAGUCAAUCAAUUUUUAUUUAUAGAGCACUUUUCACACACAAUGAGGGGAAUGCAAAGUGCUUUACUUAAGACAAAAACAGGAGGUGACGGAAAAAGGCAAAAAACACCACAAAAAAAGCGAAAAAAUAAUAAGCUAAAUUUACAAAAAUGUGCAGUUAACCUAGGAAGAACUGAGGAAAAGCACUUGUGUUGAUGAUAGAAAGCCACUAGAGGAAGAGACUCUAAAGAACAUUGUUUCUAGAAACAAAGUAUAACAAUAUUAGUUUUCAUAAUAAUAAAUAAAAACUAAGUAAAUAAUAAAAAUAAAAAGAUAAAAUAAAAUACAAAUAAACUAAAAUCUGUAAUUAGGUUAAACACUAAUUAAUGAUGAGAGUGAAACAAAAUAGUUUGUAGGAUAGCUGCACAAUAUAUGACAUCACAGUUAUUAUUGCAAUAUCAAUGUGCGUAAUAUCGCAAUGGCAAAGGACACAUUGGACACAAUAUUAGAUAAAAUAUUAUAUUUUAAGAUCCAAUAUAUUUGGCCUGUUAAAUAGACUUACCUGCCCUUGAAGGCCACACAUGAUUUAUAUUUUUUAGAUGCCAAAACUCACAUAGCUGUGGGGGAGUUGUGGGAAGACGGAGAUGAAGAAAAAAAGAGAAAGAAUGAGUGAAGCAUGGUUUUACUGAUAUUAUAAUCAGCAAUAGAACAGUUAUUUUUUCCUAAUAUUGUGCAGUCCUAAACUAUAACAUGAUUGAAAUCCAACAUAAAGCCCAACUCAAAGUGUAAUUUAACUACAGAUAUAACCAGGUGAAUACUUAAGCUAUUUAUAUUAUAUUUAUUUAUACAUAUAAUUGGUUUUAGUUGCAUUUUAACGUUUCUGUUUAUGUGAUGCUUACAUUAUUUCUAGUCUUACUACUAUCUUUUGUGUGUG
Molecule: long non-coding RNA, 2392 nt
Organism: Girardinichthys multiradiatus
Lineage: Eukaryota; Metazoa; Chordata; Actinopteri; Cyprinodontiformes; Goodeidae
Exons: 3
Source: RefSeq, a predicted model, not a curated record